Molecule: non-coding RNA, 21 nt
Filed under: Caenorhabditis elegans
Lineage: Eukaryota; Metazoa; Nematoda; Chromadorea; Rhabditida; Rhabditidae
Source: RNAcentral
UGUAAUAAGUGGAGGUAGCUA